RNAcentral lists this ribosomal RNA (1364 nucleotides) under Drosophila burlai. RNAcentral describes it as "16S ribosomal RNA". Lineage: Eukaryota; Metazoa; Arthropoda; Insecta; Diptera; Drosophilidae. The record is from RNAcentral.
GAUUAGAUUUUAUUUAUUAAUUAUUAGUAUUAUUUUUUUAAAUUAUUAGAAAUAACUAUAAAUUAUAAAGUUUUAGUAUUGUUUAAAGAAAAAAUAAUUUUAAUAAUAGUUUAUUAGUAUUGUAAAAGAAAAUUGAAAUAAAUUGAAAAAUUUUUAUUUAAAAAGAAAAUUUAAUUUAUUGUACCUUGUGUAUCAGCGUUUAUUAAAUAAAAAAUAAAUAUUUAUUUUUCUCGAUUUUAAAAGAGUUAAUAUAAUAUUUAAGUUAAUGUAGUAAAAUUAUUUAAAAUAUUAUAUUAGAAAUGAAAUGUUAUUCGUUUUUAAAGGUAUCUAGUUUUUUAAGAAAUAAAUUUAAUUUAGAAAUUAUAAAUUUAUUUAAUUGAUUAAUUAAUUAAAUAAUUUAUGAUUUUAAUAUUUUAUGGGAUAAGCUAUAAAAUAAAUUUUUAAAAAUAAUAAAUAAAUUUAAUAAAUAUAUGCUUAGAAUUAGCAAUUAUUAAAAAAUGUGUUAUAAUUUAUUUUAUAAAUUAUAUUAUUUAUUAAAUUUUAAAUAUUUAUUAAAAUAUUAAUUUUAAUUUUUAAAAUUAAGUAAUAAUGAUAGAAUUAGUAUAUUUAUAUUGUUAAAAUAAUUAUAAAUGAAAAGUUUAAAUAAAGAAUUCGGCAAAAAUAAUGUUCGCCUGUUUAACAAAAACAUGUCUUUUUGAAUUAAAUAUAAAGUCUAACCUGCCCACUGAUAAUUUUUAAAUGGCCGCAGUAUUUUGACUGUGCAAAGGUAGCAUAAUCAUUAGUCUUUUAAUUGAAGGCUGGAAUGAAUGGUUGGACGAAAUAUUAACUGUUUCAUUUAAAAUUAAAGUAGAAUUUUAUUUUUUAGUCAAAAAGCUAAAAUAAUUUUAAAAGACGAGAAGACCCUAUAAAUCUUUAUAUUUUAUUUAUUUUAAUUAUAAAGAUUAAUUUAAUUUUAAUAAAUUAAAAUAUUUUAUUGGGGUGAUAUUAAAAUUUAAAAAACUUUUAAUUUUUAAAAACAUUAAUUUAUGAAUAAUUGAUCCAUUAAUAAUGAUUAAAAAAUUAAGUUACUUUAGGGAUAACAGCGUAAUUUUUUUGGAGAGUUCAUAUCGAUAAAAAAGAUUGCGACCUCGAUGUUGGAUUAAGAUAUAAUUUUGGGUGUAGCCGUUCAAAUUUUAAGUCUGUUCGACUUUUAAAUUCUUACAUGAUCUGAGUUCAAACCGGUGUAAGCCAGGUUGGUUUCUAUCUUUAAAAAAUUAUAAUAUUUUAGUACGAAAGGACCAAAUAUUAAAAUAAUUAUAUUUAAUAAAAUGAAUAUUAUUAAUAUUAAUAUAAACUAUUUUGGCAGAUUAGUGCAAUAAAUUUAG